CGCGUAGGCGGCCUGAUAAGUCAGAUGUGAAAGUCCACGGCUCAACCGUAGAAGUGCAUUUGAAACUGUCAGGCUUGAGUAUCGGAGGGGAGUGUGGAAUUCCCGGUGUAGAGGUGAAAUUCGUAGAGAUCGGGAGGAACACCGGUGGCGAAGGCGACACUCUGGACGAAUACUGACGCUGAGGCGCGAAAGCGUGGGGAGCAAACA
Molecule: ribosomal RNA, 207 nt
Filed under: uncultured bacterium
Lineage: Bacteria
Description: partial 16S ribosomal RNA
Rfam family: Bacterial small subunit ribosomal RNA
Source: RNAcentral